This is a long non-coding RNA of Herpailurus yagouaroundi (jaguarundi), 437 nucleotides long. RefSeq lists it as uncharacterized. NCBI's taxonomy places the organism in Eukaryota, Metazoa, Chordata, Mammalia, Carnivora, Felidae. The transcript is spliced from 3 exons. The record is from RefSeq and is a predicted model, not a curated record.
GACUUGAGUUCAGAGUGUGCUCUUCCAUAAAAUAGAUAAUCACACCCAAACCUGCUGGAUGUGCUUGCCCCUCAGCCGGAGGGUUUACUUAGCCACUCCUAUCCCUUUGACCUGGGAAGUUCCUGAAAAUCUGAAAACCAACACUUCUGUCUUAAUUGGACCCGUGGCCACUGGGAUCCUUCUCACAAAUGCCAACAAUCUAAUCUGUACAGUCCCUGGAGGUAUGAAUGGUACCUCUCUAUACGGAAAAAAUAUAACCUUAAAGAGAAAUAUAAUGCUAUGUUCAACCCCUGAGGUGUUCUAUCUAUGUUCUAAUUUGGCCUUCUGAUGCUUACAGGCCAACUGGAUAUCUCUGGGGUUAGGAAGAUAUCCUAUAUCCAUAUACACUGAAGAUCAGCUCCUAACAGCCUUUAGCCCCAAGUCCCAGGCUAAACGGG